Molecule: long non-coding RNA, 342 nt
Filed under: Elaeis guineensis (African oil palm)
Lineage: Eukaryota; Viridiplantae; Streptophyta; Magnoliopsida; Arecales; Arecaceae
Description: long non-coding RNA (EGUI_LNC043030)
Source: RNAcentral
CCCAAUCCCACUACUACACUACUUGGAUAUUAAUUUAAUUAUUUAGAUCUAAUCUAAAUAAUUAUAAUCAGAUUAAUAUCAAAUUAUAUGCAGAAAAUUUAUGUCAUAAGAAACCAAAGCUCUGAUACCAUUUGAAGGAAAAAUAGACAGUUUAAAGCAUACAUUUUUAAAAAUUUUAUAGAGAAAGAUAGUAGAUUAAAUAUUUUAAUCUCCUACAUAUACUUUAGAUCUGAUCUAAACUACCUACUAAGGAUCUAUGACAUAAAAUUUUAAAAUAAAAUUUGAUGUAAAAAAAAACUGCAUCGAUCACAUCGAUGCCUUGUAUCAGAUCUAAUCACUAGA